Molecule: ribosomal RNA, 446 nt
Filed under: uncultured crenarchaeote
Lineage: Archaea; Thermoproteati; Thermoproteota
Description: bacterial SSU rRNA
Rfam family: Archaeal small subunit ribosomal RNA
Source: RNAcentral
GCCUGCGGUUUAAUUGGAGUCAACGCCGGAAAUCUUACCAGGAUCGACAGCAGAGUGAAGGCCAGAUUGAAGGUCUUGCUAGACGAGCUGAGAGGAGGUGCAUGGCCAUCGCCAGUUCGCGCCGUGAGGUGUCCUCUUAAGUGAGGUAACGAACGAGACCCCCACCCCAUGUUGCCAUCAGGAUCUAAAGGAUCGCUGGGCACUCUUGGGGGACCGCUGCCGACAAGGCUGAGGAAGGUGGGGGCCACGGUAGGUCAGUAUGCCCCGAAUAUCCUGGGCCACACGCGGGCUGCAAUGGUAGGGACAGAGGGCUGCAACAUCGAGAGAUGGAGCCAAUCCCUAAACCCUACCUCAGUUGGGAUCGAGGGCUGCAACCCGCCCUCGUGAACAUGGAAUGCCUAGUAACCGCGCGUCAUCAUCGCGCAGUGAAUACGUCCCUGCUCCUU